Molecule: long non-coding RNA, 2194 nt
Organism: Homo sapiens (human)
Lineage: Eukaryota; Metazoa; Chordata; Mammalia; Primates; Hominidae
Exons: 1
Source: RefSeq, marked validated
CCUCACUGAAGUGAAUAUGAAUAAUAAUACAAGUAAUUAUUAUCGUAUUGGAUUUUGGAAAGUUGGAUGGUGAUAUUCCUUUGGCAUGCGAGACUAUUAAUAUGACUCGUGCUGGAAAAAGUCACUCAUGUUUUCUCUGGGCUUGGAUUCCUCAUUCCUUCAUUCAAUGAACAUUUGCUCCGCAGUUACUUGUGCGAGGCACUCUCACCGGAGACUGAAGGUAUAGAGCAAGCUUGUCCAACCCGUGGCUCACUAACCGCGUGCGGCCCAGGACAGCUUUGAAUGCCGCCCAACACAAAUUUGUAAAUGUUCUUAAAACAUUAUGAGAGGUUUUUUUUUUGCGCUUUUUUUUUUUUUCUCAUCAGCUAUCAUUAGAGUUAGUGUAUUUUAUGUGUGGCCCAAGACAGUUCUCCCAGUGUGGCUCAGGGAAGCCAAAAGAUCGGACGCAUGGUAUAGAGAAAAACAAGAAGCAUCCCUCCAUAGCGUAUGCCCCACAAGAGACAAUUUCCCAGAGACCAGUAGCUGAGGCAGGUGUAGGAAGUGAAUGGGCCAUUAGAUGGAUGCCUGUGGAAGCUAAAGAAGGCGGAUCGGAGGAAGACAAUCCGACCUGGGGAGUGGAGGAGAGAGGGGGAGAAGGUGGCAUCGACUUGGAUUUUUUAAGAUUGAGUCAUUUGGGGCACUUGGAAAUGGGCAUUCUGGGUAGAAGGUUCAGUAUUAACAAAAACAAAACAAUACUCUUGAGUGGGAAGAAUAAUGGAUAGUUUGAUUUGCCUAGAAUGUAGAGAUUAAUAAGGAUGCCAGGAUUCUAGGGCGGGGGACCAAGAUGGGGAGUCAGUGGUGGGAAGCCCUGGAAGAUUCCAAGCAAGGCAUGACAGUGCUGUGGCAGCGGAUAGUUAAUUUGGCCAAGGAGUGGAACCCUCCUUUGUAGCGUGAGAGUGUUGGACCAAGGAUCUUUGCAGCACUGAGAGUCUAUGAAUUAGCCAAUCUGGGAAUACAGGGCUUCAUGGAAACAUCACAGUGUAGGAGGAUUAUGGAUGGAAAGUGCAGCUGGAAUGGGAAAAGGUCGAAACCUAAUUAGAAGCCUUGGGCCAGGGGUAGCCUGUGAUCACCUGCGAUUGUGUUUCAGACUUCCAGUAACAUUCUUGGGAGUAGUUGUUAAAAAAGUGCUCUUCGUGUUUCUGUAACUUGGGUGGCCUCUUAGGCAUGAGCAGACGUUCAGCCUGUCCCUAUCGGCAGGGAACAUUUAUUUAUUUUGAUGCAUCCCCAGGGACCAACAGAGAGCUAUAAAGACAGCAGCCUGUUUUGCCAGUUGGCCAGUUGAAAUGGGAAAUUUCUUAUACAAAGAUUACAGACUUAACCUUCAUGCCACUCUUUAUUAUAAACUGUUCAUACAGUUCUUUGCAGAUGGACUCAAAAUGAAGCAUUUUUUUACCUUAAAGAUUGUAGUAGAGGAUGUUAUAAAUGUGUCUUUAAUUGGUUCUGUGUUUUCUCAUACUUAUGAAGCACUGCAUUACACAAUUUGUCUGAAUGAAAUUGGUAGAUGUGGUCCAUGUAAAACUUACCCAAUCAGACAGGUUACAGAUAUUUGCCUAAAAUCUGAGCCUGGGCACCUUAGAGAUAUUCUAACCUCACCCGGAAACUCCGCAACUGGAAAGGUGCAGGGAUUCUGGAGCGAGGUUCCACUUCACAUUAUCUUCUGGUUCUGCAUAUGAAUAUUUAAAAACUUCCUGUGGUGUUAUAUGAAAUAUGUAUUUGCAUGCUUUUGCAGCUGCUCCAUCUAAUAGUAUUUGAGAAGGGGAAAAAAUGAAAUGUUGCUUAGUAGAAAUUCCUUUGGUUAAUGAUGUUAAUCAAUGGUAUAAAAAAGGAGCAUGAACUCUGGAAUAAGAAGGGACACCUGAAAUUGAAUUCCAGUUGUGUCGCUUACUACCUGUGCGACUUUAGGUCUGGCACUUAACUCAUCUGAGUCUCAGUUUCCUCAUCUGUAAAAUGGUCACCACAAUAAUCAGCUCGCAGUCUAACAGAACAACCUGUCACCACUAGAAUCCCACUUGUUGGCCUUUUAUAGCCACACCUACUUCCCUCCCACUGCCUCCUCCACUUCCUUAACUCAUAGCAACCACUGUGUGUUCACUAUCUUUUUAAAUAAUUGUAUCAUUUCAAGAAUGUUAUAAAAAUGGAAUGAUAUAGUGUGUGA